UCCACCAUCCCCGGUUCAGCGGCUCCACCGCCCCCGGUUCAGCGGCUCCACCGCCCCCCGGUUCAGCGGCUCCUCCUGCGUGGCCCCCCGAGAGGCUCCCUGCUCUUACCGGGCGGCCCGGUGCCGUUCGCCCGCCCCCAGGCGUUAUCCCGGGGCCCACUCCAGCAGCUGUCACCGAGCCGGCCCGACAGCCAGCGAGGGACUCGCGGCACGACGAGCACUUGGGGAAUUUCUCUUGUGUCUCCUGGACCAGUUAUUUAUAGGAAUCUCCAAAUCCAUCCAGUCCAGCUGCCCUUGGACUGCACAGUGACCCUGUCCCGACCAGGGAUUCCUCAGCACCCCGGGAGCAGGACAUGCACCCUGUCCCCUCCCAGCUCCCAGUGCUCGGCAGACUGAAAAUACUCUGAACAGAAUGGGAGUGACACAUGAACCCACAGGGCACAGUGGAACAACCCCAGGCAGCUGCUGUCGGGCCAAACCCAGAUGAGGUGCUUUAUUCACUUCAUCUUUAUUUUUCACAAAGACUGUACAAAAUUCUUAUAAAACUCUGGUGUGGGGAUGGGCUAUGACAUUGAUCCAAAAAAUAAUUCCCAUGCAGUCCCACCAGUUCCAUAACUUACAAGGAAACAGAUAAGCUACAGAGAGCUGCGAGUCCUGGAGUAUUUACACCGAGGAGGGCAGGAACGGGAGACAAAGCAACACGAGAGGUAUUUACAGCACGGACACACAGGCCCCCUCACCUCACGAGAACGGCAGCAGCGACAGCAGGUCAGGCCCGUGGUGCUCCGAAGCCGACAGAGAAUCUGGGCUAUUUACAGUAUCUCACAUAUUAACAGCUUUACAAAUGUGUCCAGGAAGUUCAUCUCAUGUAUAAAAAAAAAAAA
This is a long non-coding RNA of Cyanistes caeruleus (blue tit), 884 nucleotides long. RefSeq lists it as uncharacterized. Lineage: Eukaryota; Metazoa; Chordata; Aves; Passeriformes; Paridae. The record is from RefSeq and is a predicted model, not a curated record.